UGUAAGCGUAUACCAAAGUUGUUGCAGUUAAAACGCUCGUAGUCGGAAUUUGGCAGUUCCGGAUGUGUGCACGUCGUGUGCGCACUUCGCGGGGAUUGCUUUUGUGGUCUUGCGUAGGAUGAGGCACUUUUAUUAGUGAACGUCCUCACGCAACCACUUUUUACUGUGAGAAAAUCAGAGUGCUCAAAGCAGGCAUUUGCCGUGAAUGUAUUAGCAUGGAAUAAUAGAAUAGGACUUGGUUCUAUUUUGUUGGUUUGUUGGGACUGAGUAAUGAUUAAGAGGGACAGUUGGGGGCAUUUGUAUUUCGGUGCGAGAGGUGAAAUUCUUAGAUUACCGAAAGACAAACUGCUGCGAAAGCGUCUGCCAAGGAUGUUUUCAUUGA
RNAcentral lists this ribosomal RNA (382 nucleotides) under uncultured eukaryote. Its description in RNAcentral is "partial 18S ribosomal RNA". It matches the Rfam family "Eukaryotic small subunit ribosomal RNA", at positions 592 to 976 of the family's 1831-position model. The record is from RNAcentral.